This 3973-nucleotide long non-coding RNA is filed under the name Ostreococcus sp. 'lucimarinus'. Its description in RNAcentral is "long non-coding RNA (OLUC_LNC000044)". Lineage: Eukaryota; Viridiplantae; Chlorophyta; Mamiellophyceae; Mamiellales; Bathycoccaceae. The record is from RNAcentral.
GUCGCCGGAAAUGCCGCGAAUCUCGUCGCCGACUUUCGUGAUGGCGCGCGCGCUGUACGCGCCUCUUGCCCAGUUGUUCCCGCCUUGAGUACGUUUGAGGUAGCCCUGUUUGCCGUCCGUCGUCAUGCCCUGCGAAAGUCCGACCCACUCGAUGAGAUCCAAGUCGUUCGCACCCUCGUGGACAGUCUGUAUCCAGGAGACUCGAGAGAAAGACGCGCCUGCAGUGUUGAAGCGCGCGGUGGCGUAGAGCGGGAAGGCAGGCGCCUCAUCAGACGUCGCAAACGCCGCGCCAUCCUUGUAGUACGUGACGACGCCCGAGUCGAGCACGACCACUUGGAACGUCUCACCGACGAAGUAAUCGCCAAAGUCGCCGUCGCGCACGACGCCGUGUUCGGAGAUGCGGAUCACGCCGUUGUCGCACACAAUGCCGAAGUCGACCACCUCGUCGACGGAGUUCGUCGAGCCAGAGUUCAAGCCAAUCAUCAUGGACUUGUCCGUUUGGUCGCAAUCCGCGGAGACGCCACGCACUUCGUCGCCGAUCUUCGUGAUGGCACGUUUGCUCGUGGCGCCGACGUUCCAGCCACUGCCUGCCAUUGUGCGCGUCACUUGGCCCGCGGAAGACUCGACGCCUUCCGCGUCUUCAAACUCCAUGGCCGCCAAGUCGUUCGCGCCCUUGACAACCUUGUGAACCCAGCGCGCGUUGGCCAGCUCUGCGAGGUGGUUGUGAAACGACGUGUCCGCGUAGAGCGGGAAAGAAGGCGACGUCAAGCUCGUGUACUUGAGAUCGCCGUCGACGUAGAACUCAAUCGCGCCCGCGUCGUUCACGAUCACUUGGAAAGUCUCACCCGCGACGAAGACGCCGGCAUCGAACUUGUUCACGCCCUUCUCUUGGAAUCGGACCUGAUUGCCGUUGCAGAACACGGCGUAGUCGAUGGUCGUUUGGCUGUGGCCCGAGGGCGUGCUCGACAAGCCAAACUGCAAGUGCCUGUUGUCGGUGCGCAUGCAGUCGCCGGAAAUGCCGCGAAUCUCGUCGCCGACUUUCGUGAUGGCGCGCGCGCUGUACGCGCCUCUUGCCCAGUUGUUCCCGCCUUGAGUACGUUUGAGGUAGCCCUGUUUGCCGUCCGUCGUCAUGCCCUGCGAAAGUCCGACCCACUCGAUGAGAUCCAAGUCGUUCGCACCCUCGUGGACAGUCUGUAUCCAGGAGACUCGAGAGAAAGACGCGCCUGCAGUGUUGAAGCGCGCGGUGGCGUAGAGCGGGAAGGCAGGCGCCUCAUCAGACGUCGCAAACGCCGCGCCAUCCUUGUAGUACGUGACGACGCCCGAGUCGAGCACGACCACUUGGAACGUCUCACCGACGAAGUAAUCGCCAAAGUCGCCGUCGCGCACGACGCCGUGUUCGGAGAUGCGGAUCACGCCGUUGUCGCACACAAUGCCGAAGUCGACCACCUCGUCGACGGAGUUCGUCGAGCCAGAGUUCAAGCCAAUCAUCAUGGACUUGUCCGUUUGGUCGCAAUCCGCGGAGACGCCACGCACUUCGUCGCCGAUCUUCGUGAUGGCACGUUUGCUCGUGGCGCCGACGUUCCAGCCACUGCCUGCCAUUGUGCGCGUCACUUGGCCCGCGGAAGACUCGACGCCUUCCGCGUCUUCAAACUCCAUGGCCGCCAAGUCGUUCGCGCCCUUGACAACCUUGUGAACCCAGCGCGCGUUGGCCAGCUCUGCGAGGUGGUUGUGAAACGACGUGUCCGCGUAGAGCGGGAAAGAAGGCGACGUCAAGCUCGUGUACUUGAGAUCGCCGUCGACGUAGAACUCAAUCGCGCCCGCGUCGUUCACGAUCACUUGGAAAGUCUCACCCGCGACGAAGACGCCGGCAUCGAACUUGUUCACGCCCUUCUCUUGGAAUCGGACCUGAUUGCCGUUGCAGAACACGGCGUAGUCGAUGGUCGUUUGGCUGUGGCCCGAGGGCGUGCUCGACAAGCCAAACUGCAAGUGCCUGUUGUCGGUGCGCAUGCAGUCGCCGGAAAUGCCGCGAACCUCGUCGCCGACUUUCGUGAUGGCGCGCGCGCUGUACGCACCUCUUGCCCAGUUGUUCCCGCCUUGAGUACGUUUGAGGUAGCCCUGUUUGCCGUCCGUCGUCAUGCCCUGCGAAAGUCCGACCCACUCGAUGAGAUCGAGAUCCCGUGAACCUUUAUGAACAACUUUUAUCCACUUCACAUUUUCGAGGUGUCCUCCACCUUCAUCAACGUAUCCAUCGGCAAACAAUGGGAAGAUCGGUUCUCUGCUACUAUUGUAGACAGAAUGUCCUUCUUUAUAAUAGUGAACGAUACCCUCGUCAUUAAAUGCGACCUGGAACGUUUCUCCCGCGAGGUAUGUUCCGAUCGUGGCCAUAAGCUCACCGUCUUCGUAAACUUCCAUUGUUCCGGCAUUGCAACCAACGGCAUACUCAAUAGCAUCGCCAUCCGAGGGUGUGUAAUGAGCGCUGCUCAAACCGAAUAUCAUUUUCGUUGUUGUGUCACUGCAAUCCGCAGAAAUACCGCGAACUUCGUCAUAAAUUUUAGUUACGGCGCGUUUACUUGUCGAGCGCACAAUGUCCAUUUUUUCAGGUGUAACCGGCAAGUACACGUCGCCGUGUGACACUUCACAUCGCUGGACUGUUUCAAAGUCCAUCAUGUUUAGCCAAUGCAUGUGGCUUAGCUUCGCACCUUCGGUGAAGAUUCGAGCCUGGGAGUAAAGAGGGAAUUCAACACUUUUAGUGCUGACAUGAAGAACAUUACCAUUUUGCAGAUACUCGAUGACACCAUGCUCGUUGAUGACGAUAGAAAAUGUCUCUCCAGGGCUGUACGCCGAAGGAGGCUCGACAAUGCGCUCGUGCCUUUGGAAGGCUGACGCAUUGUGUUGGUCAUUUAUGUAUUCGGGUGAAUCACUAUCCAAUGAAUCAAGUGCCAAGUCUGGCGAAGUACCAAGAUGUGUUGAAGGCGGUGGACCUUGAGCAUCGUUCUCCGGGGUCGGGACUUGAAGUUGGCCUUCAAUCCCAUGUGGUGUAUUCGGCUCGGGACGUCGAUGUGGCUCGAUUGUUUUGAUGACAACUCCAUCUUCAAGGAGACGCAACGUUCCGGCAUCACAGUAUAUCGCAAAGGACAGGUUCGUCUGCGCCGGAGCAGUAGCGGUUUCAUUCGCAGCGGUUUCAUUCAACUGAGCAUCUUGAUCACCUUGCACCAUGAGUCCAAACAUCAUCUGUGACUUGUUGUCGGAACAAUCGGCAGACACGCCUUUUUUGGUGUCAUUCCAACCGCGAAUUGAUGAACGACUCGUUGCGAAAGCAAGUAAUGAAGCUUCUUCGAUGCGUUUUGCCGCCUCUUCACUCAACACGUGAGCGAGAGAUCCAGGUGUAAGAGUCGCAUUCUCAGGUAGAAGGAACUCAACAGGCUCAAGGUCAUCGGCACCUUCAAUGAUUCGGUAAACCCAGCGCGCGUUGGCCAGCUCUGCGAGGUGGUUGUGAAACGACGUGUCGGCGUAGAGCGGGAAAGAAGGCGACGUCAAGCUCGUGUACUUGAGAUCGCCGUCGACGUAGAACUCAAUCGCGCCCGCGUCGUUCACGAUCACUUGGAAAGUCUCACCCGCGACGAAGACGCCGGCAUCGAACUUGUUCACGCCCUUCUCUUGGAAUCGGACCUGAUUGCCGUUGCAGAACACGGCGUAGUCGAUGGUCGUUUGGCUGUGGCCCGAGGGCGUGCUCGACAAGCCAAACUGCAAGUGCCUGUUGUCGGUGCGCAUGCAGUCGCCGGAAAUGCCGCGAAUCUCGUCGCCGACUUUCGUGAUGGCGCGCGCGCUGUACGCGCCUCUUGCCCAGUUGUUCCCGCCUUGAGUACGUUUGAGGUAGCCCUGUUUGCCGUCCGUCGUCAUGCCCUGCGAAAGUCCGACCCACUCGAUGAGAUCCAAGUCGUUCGCACCCUCGUGGACAGUCUGUAUCCAGGAG